Molecule: ribosomal RNA, 369 nt
Filed under: Aulosira laxa K57
Lineage: Bacteria; Bacillati; Cyanobacteriota; Cyanophyceae; Nostocales; Fortieaceae
Description: bacterial SSU rRNA
Rfam family: Bacterial small subunit ribosomal RNA
Source: RNAcentral
GCUCUUGGGUUGUAAACCUCUUUUCUCAGGGAAGAAAAAAAUGACGGUACCUGAGGAAUAAGCAUCGGCUAACUCCGUGCCAGCAGCCGCGGUAAUACGGAGGAUGCAAGCGUUAUCCGGAAUGAUUGGGCGUAAAGCGUCCGCAGGUGGCGAUGAAAGUCUGCUGUUAAAGAGUGAGGCUCAACCUCAUAAAAGCAGUGGAAACUACAUAGCUAGAGUACGUUCGGGGCAGAGGGAAUUCCUGGUGUAGCGGUGAAAUGCGUAGAGAUCAGGAAGAACACCGGUGGCGAAAGCGCUCUGCUAGGCCUGUACUGACACUGAGGGACGAAAGCUAGGGGAGCGAAUGGGAUUAGAUACCCCCAGUAGUCA